UAUUCAUGAUGUGCUCUUCAUACCUUGUUAUUGAGUGCGGCUCAAAUGCAAUAAGAGAGUUCCAUUGUAACAAAUUGUUAUGAUCUAUAAGGUGAGAAGCAAAUUGUUAAGAUCUAUGAGGUGAGAAGAUAAGGCAAUAUUUUACACUGGCCAAAUCUUGAACCAAAAAUGACAUUUCUCUGCCAUUCACUAUAUUUCUGCUCAACCUCCUAAUACAUCCCAUACUAUCAUGCACAAACACCCUUUAAUCAACAUAGUUUGUUAUCAUCAAUAGUAACUUACAAUAUACCAGCUCACACAUGGAAAUAAAAGCAUGAAGAUAGUUGAACAUGUUUUCGUGAGGGUCUAUCUGCAUGAGAACAAGACAACAUACAUCAAUGAUAACAGAGAAAACAUGGAAGAUUUGAGCAAAAUACUUGUAUCAAAGUGGCGAAGCUGUAAUUCUCUGUUUUGAUAUUACAUUGGCAUGAGCUGUUAUUAGGUACUUGUCUAUUUGAUGGUCAAUCAUCAUGCUCCUCUUCACCUUCAGAAUCUGAUCGAACAUCUUUGCUGACUCGGCCUCUUGCCUUGAUUUGUUCCACAACCAUGCCAACCAUCAAAGACCACCAAUAUACAUUGAAUACGACCAAGGAGAAUAGAAGUGUGUUAAAGAGAUAAUAAUAUAGAGGUCCAUCCACCAUGUGCUUCUCCAUGUCCAAGGUCAAAAGGACUUCAUAGCUUGUACUCCACAGUACCCAGAAAGGAAAGUAGAUGAUGCGAAGUAUUGUCCAAGAGAGAACAAACCCAAGGAAAAAAAUGCUAGAAAUCCAUUCAUAGCCACUAUAUCUGGAUAUCUUUGCAAUUUCCAUGAAUCCAUCGCUUGCAUCAUGCAAGGCUAAAAUAAUUGAACCAACACGAGCAAAUCUGUGGUAGUCAGCACAUUCUCAAGUUACUCAGAAAGCAUCUUAAAUAUAAUUAGAUCAGAAUAGCAGAUGCCAUAUCAUGCUCUUCCUAAGCAUGAAAGUAUGAGAGGUAUUCUACGUAAUAAUUUGUAGCAAAUAACUGAAUUUUUUACAUAAAUAUUUUUAUAUGCAUGCAAAUGUUUGUGCGCAUGCAUAUGCUGUGAAGCAUCCCCAGAUAUAUUUUCUACUCUCUUUUCUUUGGGAUUUUUUAGCUAUUUAUUUAUUGGCUACUAAUAAGUGGAAAAACCAAUUCUUCCUAGCACUGUACAAAAUGGAAACUAAACUUGAAGCCUCAGCCAUUUCCAAACCUAAAUAUGUAAGACAUCACAAUGAGAAUGAUCGAUGCCACAUGAUGAGCCAUUGAAAUCAAAAAGUCUGAACGUCUUGUUUCCCAGAAAACCAAAGCAAAUAUGGAGUACGUGUAGAAUCCAGCAACAUACAUGUAAAGUCCCUUCAAUUUCAAUCUGACCACCAUGAGAAUAGCUAGUCAAUGAAAGCUGAACAAAUGUGCACAUUUAUAUAUCUAACAGCAUGAAAGAAAAAUUGAACAUUAAAUUAUCUUAAUACGUGUUUGAUGAAUUGAUGAACUCACUUAAGUUUCUGAUCAGGCCAAAUUUGAUCUGCAGGUCCCACCCAAAAAUACUUAGUAUUAGUGAACCAGGGCUCACGAUAUGAGACAUAAAGAGCAAAAAGCUCUGCAGAAAGAAAAUAAACAUAUUUCCAAGCUGACUCCUUGAAUUUAUUAAUUUUCUUCCUAUUUGCACGUUUCCCAACAUCCACCGAUGCAUAUGAGUUCCCAAAAAUCAAUCUUUUGGCUAAACUCUCAAAAAUGUACUUGUCAAGGAAAAGCCUAACAGAAAGAAAGAAGAGGGCGAAGAAGGGAACGAACGUGAAGUCACUGGCAACUGGGUAUGACUCAGACUCCCAAUUGAUAAAACCAUCGGUUCCUAAAAGACCCAUUAGGUUCUCUUUGAAGGAAUUCUUCAAAGAUAAGAGAAAUUGAGAAAGAAUCAAAGAAAUGGGAAAUUGCUGAUAGGAAAAUUACACAGGUCAUCG
RNAcentral lists this unclassified non-coding RNA (1997 nucleotides) under Hevea brasiliensis (rubber tree). The record is from RNAcentral. Lineage: Eukaryota; Viridiplantae; Streptophyta; Magnoliopsida; Malpighiales; Euphorbiaceae.